CAACUUCUUAGGUUAUAUGCUAUAAAAUUCAACUCUCACCCUCAACAUAAUACAACAUCCAACAUAUGUACAAAGCAUUACAUUGCUAUAAAGAAACCAAACAUAAGAUAUGAUAUGUGCUUCAUCAAAACUCUUGACAAACUCAGCCAAAACUUCAUGGCUGAAAGCAAACAACCAACUCCCAACUCUUCCUCGUCAACAUACAUAGUAAAUAUUGUAGUUGCUUAUCAACAGAGAUCCAUAUAUUGUUAUCCAGAUUGUUAGCACUUAAUUCCCAAGAAUCAAAGAGGCUCCUGCAUUGUUACAACUAUUGGACUUGUCACUUCAUGCUUCCCAUCUGACCAAACUAUGGAGCCACUUUUCACUAUGGAGUUCCCUGGUGAUAGCUUUAGUGCCUCUGCUUGUACUCUCACCAGAAAAUUAAGCUUCUGUCCAACUCUUCUAAAUGUCAGCUUCUCUGGCUCCACUGUCACCACCAUAUCCCUAGGUGGUUUCACGAUCACGUGGUACACUGAAUUGGGAUCUCCGACGUUUGUCACAGUCCUAAUGAAAUGUGUGGACAACUUGUGCUUUCCAUGUUGUUGGAACACUGCUGAAAGUGAAGGGUAAUUCAAAUUCCCCACAUGCCCUGCUCUUUUUGCCUUGCUACAAUCUGAAUACUUCCUUGUAACCACUUGAAUAUUCUUGGUUGUGUAAUUGGAAUUGCAGAGGAAAUCGACGUAGUCAUAGGAAGUUAGGUCGUAAAUCAAACCAGGGUCCAUUGCCUUCUGAGGGUGCACAUGUCCUGCCCCAAAAUCCAUCACAGACGACGAAUUUCCAGUUGAUUCAUCCAUCAUAAUUUGUCCCCUAUUAUCCACUGUAUAGGCAGUUGUCAUCAAUGCUGAUCUUAUAGCUGCUGGGCUCCAUCCCGGAUGGGCUGCUUUCAACAAUGCUCCUAGUCCAGAAACAUGUGGGCAAGCCAUGGAGGUUCCUGAUAAAAUGUUGAACUCCGUUCUACGCGUAUCCCAUGGAAGCCCGCUGGGUCCAACACCAUCAGGCCAAGCUGCAAGGAUGUUCACUCCAGGUGCAAUCACAUCGGGCUUCAGAAUUUCAGGUGACUCUGGGUUGGGGCCUCGGGCUGAAAAUGAUGCCACUACUGGUGCUGGCCGCACAUUUAGAAGAGUACCUCUGAAUAAAAUGGUUGCCGUUGGCGGUGACUUGGACUUUGAUGCUACCGAUAUGUACUUCCUUAUCUCAUCACCAGCAGAAGCCCCAACUGCUGUCGCAGGUAUCACGUGGCAAUCAGCUACUAAACCUUCACCAUCGAAUACUCCAUUGGCUAUUAUCAUCCCCAUUCCACCAGCUUUCUUCACCACUAAGCCUUUUGCAGCUCUCGAAUUGACGCCUCUGUCACACAAUACGAUUUUUCCCUGUACAUAAUUUGGGUUUAAUGAACCUUCUAAACACAGUGAAGACGAAUACCCAUCACUACCUUCACUUCCGGCGUAAAUUAAGGGGUAAAGUCGGUUCGGAGUUAACGCCGGCCCACCAUAUAUGCUCACUCCAGGAACUAUCCUACCAUUUCCAAGUUUGACAUCUGCAGGGAAAUCUCGGUCAAUUGUUCCGGCACCAACAUUGGUAACCCAAGGAGCGACAUUGGUUACUGUAAGGCCUCCUGGUCCGCCGUUUCCGGCAGAAGCAGAGACGAAGAUUCCGGCAUCGGUUGCAGCAAAGGAGGCAAUGGCGAUUGCGUCGAGGUUAUAGGGAACAACAACUCCGCCAACGCUCAGGGAGAUGACAUGGACACCAUCAGCAACGGCGGCGUCAAAUGCAGCCAGGAUGUCAGCGUCGUAGCAGCCUGAAGACCAGCAAACUUUGUAAGCAGCUAGACGAGCCUUUGGAGCCAUCCCAGCAGCAACACCACGAGCGUAACCAAGAGUAGACGCAGGAAAUACGUACCUCCCUACCGCAAUUGAAGCUGUAUGAGUUCCAUGACCAUCCGAAUCUCUGGGGGAUCGAAACUCUAUGGUUUCAUUCAUUUUCCCAUUUGUAGCCUCAUAUCCACUGGAAAAAUAUCUCGCUCCAAUCAAUUUCCGAUUGCAUGAGGUCGCCGAAAAGCCUCUGGCAGCCACACACUCCCCUUUCCACUUUGCGGGAACUGGACCAAGAUCACGAUCAUGGAAGCUCUUCCUCUCAGGCCAGAUCCCAGUAUCAAUUACUCCAAUAACAAGGUCGGACCCAUAAUCUGAUUCCUUGAGCAACCCAGCACUGUCAGCACUAGUCAGUCCAAGAAAUUCAGGGGAUCUCGUUGUUUGAAUAUGCCUAACUUGUUCAGGAAUAACACCCAAAACCCCAUCAAAAUCCUCAAGCUUCUGAGCAUCCAAAGUCGACAAUUUAACAGAAAACCCAUGAAAUACAUUACUAUAAGUGUGAAUAAUGCGAUUCGCACCAAUUUCUAACGAUUGGGUAUCCGCAGUAAGAGAUGUUAGAGUCGACUCGUACCAGUUCUCAUGGGUCGGAAAUAUAGAAGGUUUAGCAUCAUGUUGGACGUGAACUAUGAAAGUUCUAAUAAGGUCAUUUGCAGUUGAUGAAACUGAGCCAUUGAAUACUAAAAACGAAAGACAAAACAAGAGAAAUGAAAAAAUCGCCAUGAAAGAGGAGCAGAAAUAAUUUCAGAGUGAAAGAGAGGCAAGUGUGGUAGCUUUAGUACACACGAAACUGAGCUGCACAAAAGUGAG
This 2717-nucleotide unclassified non-coding RNA is filed under the name Hevea brasiliensis (rubber tree). Lineage: Eukaryota; Viridiplantae; Streptophyta; Magnoliopsida; Malpighiales; Euphorbiaceae. The record is from RNAcentral.